UACGAAGGUGGCAAGCGUUGUUCAGAUUUACUGGGCGUACAGGGAGCGUAGGCGGUUGGAUAAGCCCUCCGUGAAAUCUCCAGGCUUAACCUGGAAAGUGCAGAGGGGACUGUUCAGCUAGAGGAUGGGAGAGGAGCGCGGAAUUCCCGGUGUAGCGGUGAAAUGCGUAGAGAUCGGGAGGAAGGCCGGUGGCGAAGGCGGCGCUCUGGAACAUUUCUGACGCUGAGGCUCGAAAGCGUGGGGAGCAAACAGG
RNAcentral lists this ribosomal RNA (253 nucleotides) under uncultured bacterium. RNAcentral describes it as "partial 16S ribosomal RNA". It matches the Rfam family "Bacterial small subunit ribosomal RNA", at positions 524 to 776 of the family's 1533-position model. The record is from RNAcentral.